CCAAACGAACCCCUAGAGCAAACCUGAGCUGUCUCUUUCAUCUCAGCACGCGUUCCAGCUCAUAAUAGCUAUUUCUGGCAAAGAUUUAAUGGCUUUUUUGACUCGUAUAACCUUUGCUCGACCAUUUGAGCAAAGGCUUUAAUGUUUUGUCUCCUUCAACAGCUUUGCAAACGGUAACAUGCCCUUUUCUUCUUUUUCUUUCAAUUUUACUAGACUUCUACAGGAAGAUUCAGAUUUCAAGGGCUUCUAUAUGAAUUUGAGUUGAGAUUUGGAUUCCAAGGCUAUUUUCUAACUGUCCCAUAUCGGUUGAAGUCCAAAAACUGGCACUACAAGAAAACAUGAAAUUAGCUAUGGACAAAAUUUCGUAGCUAAACAGCAAAAUCCAUGCUAAUAUCAUUUAGCUACGGAUUAGCGAUGGAUUAUAAGAAAAUCUAAUUAGCGAGGAACUAUUUAGCGACGGAUUAGCCGGGAUUACCGACAAAUGCCGUAGCUAAUUCCAUGUUCUCUUGUAGUGUGGGGCUUUUGUUCAACUAUAAAUAGAAGCCCUUUCCCUUCAUUUAUAUAAAAAAAAAGGUUCUGAGACCAAAAAAUUCGUUCUUACACCAAUAGUAGGUUUUUCACAACCCCUAGAGUGAGAACACUCAGGAACCCAGCUAAGCCGUUGAGUUUCGAGAAAUUCUCAUUCAUAGUCUAAUUUUUGGAAGUCAUUUCCGCUCGUUGGAAAUCGACUCCGGUGAAAGAGUGUUUGUCGUUAACCCUCGUUGCCCCCAUCACUGCCCGACAAAAGGCUUGAUGAUACACUUGGAGACAAGACACUGUUGCAUUUGAGAUGCAUUUUAUAUGUCAAGAAACUGUGGGAUUGAUGCUACACUUAGGACGUUUCCUAGAAUAAUAAGAAUCAUAUGCCACAUUUAUGUCCCUAGUACUGCACUCUGUUUGUUGCUACUCCCUUUUGAGAUACCAUACUUGGGGCCAAUGCAAAAAAAAAUAAAAAAAUUAAGGCCAUGCCUUGUCCAGAAAGGUUACCCCUCUGUUUGGGCAAAGAUGAUCUCACAUUGAUAUCACGAGGUAGGAACCGAUAUGCGCCUGGCAAGGCAACUAGAAUGGUCACUAGUUUGCAGCCGUGACAUGAUUCAGGUUUCUCUGCCAUAUUCUGAACCGUGAGUCUGAACCUCCGUAAUCAUAGCUACCAAAGUUUGAUACGAGUCCGAGGGAUAUUAUUUAUAUUCAUAAACAUCACCCUGUGGGGUGGCGUAUCAUUUGACUAACUAUUUUCACUUCAUUCUUGCGAGGUACAUCUAAUCAAUAUGGGUCUGUGAGAUGAGAUUCUACCAAAGACGGAAGUGAAGUAAAGUUGAAGGCCCGACAGCUCGGAUGAAGGACUACAAGAGCAUAGAAGAACGAGAACAAGGCUGCUGAAUGAUUUGGGCCCAAGGCCGUAAAAAGCUAAACUUUUCUUCCCCUUCUUGUAGUAUAGUUUUACAUUAUUUUCUGUUCGAACAUGAAAAUAAAUUUGUAUAGAUAUUGAAACCCCUACGGGUUAGAACCUAGGAUUUAGGUACACGAUAUUUCAAAACUGUAUCCAAAUGAUAAAAGAGUUGUAUUCCACUUGAUUAAAAUAAAUAAAAGUGAGUAUAUUUUUCUUGCAAAAA
This is a long non-coding RNA of Lycium barbarum (goji berry), 1652 nucleotides long. RefSeq lists it as uncharacterized. The transcript has 2 exons. NCBI's taxonomy places the organism in Eukaryota, Viridiplantae, Streptophyta, Magnoliopsida, Solanales, Solanaceae. The record is from RefSeq and is a predicted model, not a curated record.